Molecule: long non-coding RNA, 3394 nt
Filed under: Sus scrofa (pig)
Lineage: Eukaryota; Metazoa; Chordata; Mammalia; Artiodactyla; Suidae
Description: lncRNA (ENSSSCG00040054063.1)
Source: RNAcentral
GGGGGGGGACUUGGCCCCAGAGUUGUAAUUGCGGAGUCCUGUCUUACAACAGCGAUUUCCUGAAACUUGUGGACUUGCUUUGAAUUCAGAUGCUGCCCUUCCCGCCUCACGGGCCCCGAGCACAAGGAGGAGGUGCUCUGGGGUGGAGGCCGAGGGGCCGGGGUGACGGCGGUCUUGGGACGGGAGAGCGUCACCAUCACUGCUGGGAUCAGACUCGCUCUCCCCAAAAGCCAGUCGGUGCCGCUCACGAGACCGGCGGCCCUACAGCACCAGGCACGUCUCCCUGGACCGCAGCUCCACGACGGCGGGACCGUUGCGCACGGCCUUUGGUGUAAUGACUAUGCCCACUUAGAGGCCAGGGGCAGCGGCCCACAAAGCGGUCUUGCGCCCGGGAGCCCGGCCGGCCGGUCCGCUCCCUCGUCCAGGGCAGAGCUUGGUGCAAAAGGUUCAGAACAAAGAGCCACUGACAUUCAUUUUCCUACGGGCCUACUCGCUGGAUGGCUCUCCAACUGGCCAGCCCACAUGCCUGGGUCUCUGUCUCUCUAGCAUUUAUUCGAGUUGGCAACAUGUGUUUGCAAAAUGCUGCGUCAUCCUUCGGUGGAAGGCCCCCGGGUACGUCUGGCACAGCGGAGGGGCCGGGAGGCGGGGGGCUGUCUCGGUCGCCCAUCCCCCUGCCCCUGCUGACACGGCUCGACGCCAGGACCAAACAGCAGAGCCGUCAGCAGGUGGGCUGGGCCGGGAAGCCGAGAGCCAAGAUCCAGGGAACGGCUGCGGCGUGGACGACGCAUGUGAGGCCGAGGAGGCCACACGCUGCCCAACAACCCAGAGCCGGCCAGGACACAGGGCGUCAGCCAGCCCCCAGAGGCCACUCUUGGCACGGCCAUAAAAGCCACAGCCACAAACACUCGGGCAAGAAGAGAAGACGGUGAGAAACCAGCUCGCCUCUGCUCCUCAGACUCCUCGGAAGAUUCUGAAAGGGCAUUUUCUUAGCCCUUGGAGUGAGAGCCCAGAUUCCUCUGUCGUUCCAUCGGGAACCAUGACUGAGCAUCUGCUCAGGGCCGGGGCUCGUGCCUGACACCUGGCGCCUGUGCCCGGGCGCUCACCCUGGGGUGACUUACCACCACCUUCUGCAUCGUCACGGGCAACCGAUGCAGAGGACAGGGGCCGAGCCCAACCGAGAACAAAUGCCAAGGACAGCAGGGCCUCACCAGAGAGAAAGCCAUGUGCCAUCUGCCAUGCCGUCCCUUUUUCCUACCAGGCGUGCUCCCAGGAGAAAAGCCCCACGGUGCCUACGUGCUGAUCAGCUAACGCAGGUACCCUUUCUUUUUCAUUCAUUUUUGGCUGCCCCGACGCAUAUGGAGUUUCCAGGCCAGGGGUCAGAUCCAAACCCAAGCUGUGACCUACGCUGCAGAUGCAGCAAUGCUGGAUGCUUAGCCCACUGAGUGAGGCCAGGGAGCAAACCCCUGAGCCGCAACAGGAACUCCUACAACCCGGAUCCUUUAACCCACUGUCCUGGGAUGGGAUGGAGCCUUCGUCCUGGCGCUUUAGAGACAUGGCCAAUCCUGUUGCGUCACAGUCCUAUACCAAGUUUUAACGUGCCCUAGACCUUUAAGAGUCAAAAAGGAUACCCCUGCUCCUGCGGACAGCAUCACACACCCUUUCUGCUUAAACAGGAACAAACCAGAGUUCCUGUCGUGGCUCAACAGGUUAUGAAUCCAACUAGUUUCCAUGAGGAUGUGGGUUCAAAUUCCUGGCCUUGUUUAGUGGGUUAACGACCCAGUGUUGCCAUGAGCUGUGGUGUAGGUCGCAGAGGUGGCUCAGAUCCCAUGUUGCUGUGGCUCUGGCGUAGGCCGGCAGCUGCAGCUCUGACUCAACCCCUAGCCUGGGAACUUCCAUAUGCUGCAGGUUUGGCCCUAAAAAAAAGAGAGAGAGAGAAAGAGAGAGAGAGGGGGAGAAACAACCUCCCGUGGAGGAAUCCUGCCCAAGAAACAUGAGAAGAGCCUCCCCUGGCUGGCACCUCCUCAGAACCGCAGAGACAGGGCCUGGGCCUGGCCCCCUCGGGCCACCAGAGGCAGUGUCUUCUGCUCAGUGGCAGAGCAAACAUUUCCGUGGGGCGGCGACCUGAAGUUCUCCAGGAGGAAGGAUGUGAGCUGUGAGAAGCCAGUGAGUCAAUGUCAAGGUCAGAAUGACACUGGGCGGGUCCCUCGGCCUCGCCCUUGCCAAAGCGUUCAUGAAGUGGGUGAAUUCCUCCAUGGCCUCUGCUUCUCAGACGCUCGAUCACGAACUGUGCUUUCUGGCCUCGUUGAUUUCUGACUGUUUUCCUAAGCCUCUAAGAGGAAACUCUGUUUUCCUUUUGGACCUGCUUACGUUUAAAUCCGCUUAACUUUCUGUCUACCGCCUGCCUCUUCCCCCAAAGGGUCCCGUGCUCCCUGUGGAGCGAGCAGGCUGGUUAGAAAGUCCGAGGGGAUCCGGCAAACUCCGAAGGCCACCGCUCCGUCGUUUGGGCGGGUGGUUUGCGGAGAUUUAUUUUUGUGGGUCUGUUUCUUCUUUGUUCGGCUGGAUGCCUUCUUAUCCAAUCGGGUGAGUAUACGAGAGACCGUUCUGAGAACCUGUGCAGAAUAUUUUGUACUCAGGACAGAUCUUCAAGUGGCCACCACAGUGAUAAAGACGCCGUGCAGGAAGCACGUGUCAGCGCACUUCACUAACCCUCAAAGACACUGCCAGGCGGGCACUGUCGGCCCACUUUAGAGAUUAGAAAACCAAGGCACGGAGGUGUACAGAAACUUGCCCAAGGCACUGGCUGUGACAGACUAGGGCUAAACCUCAGUCCAAGGCCCUGCUGGUCCCAUGUUUUUGAGCUGGCCCCAAUGACAGCAUCAUGCAAUAAAUGUGCCUCUCGGGUCCCCUUACCAACCCCCAUAACCAUCCCAACACCCUUUGUUCGAUCUCAGGACAUGUGUCCUUCUUCAAAAAUGCAAAUAGUUCAUAAAUAAAACAAAUCUGAUUCGACUGAGGACACCCCAAGAUGCUGCCAAAACCAAGGGAAGUCAGCGAGGCCAGUUCUAGCCAAGGGAUGGAGUCUCCUCUUGGGACUGCCUUACUGGGAAAAGCAGCUGCUACCCACUGCUGCCAGUCCAAUACCUUGGGCAGGGCCCAGAGGGAGGGUCUGGGACUCACAAGGAGCCCUUGAGCUUCCUGACAAGGGUGCCACAGGACGUGUGACACACCAGCGCCAGUGCCAGCCACACCCCGCCCCUCUGUGCGUUGCAGAGAAAAGAAGUUAAAGUGGUUCUUGGGAGUUCCCUGGAGCCACAGUGGGUUAAGGGUGUUGUCACAGCAGCAGCUCGGGUCGCUGCUGCGGCAUGGGUUCGAUCCCUGGCCCAGGAACUUCCGC